Molecule: ribosomal RNA, 207 nt
Filed under: uncultured bacterium
Lineage: Bacteria
Description: partial 16S ribosomal RNA
Rfam family: Bacterial small subunit ribosomal RNA
Source: RNAcentral
CGCGUAGGCGGCUUUAUAAGUCAGAUGUGAAAUCCCACGGCUCAACUGUGGAAGUGCAUCUGAAACUGUGAGGCUUGAGUAUCGGAGGGGAGUGUGGAAUUCCCGGUGUAGAGGUGAAAUUCGUAGAGAUCGGGAGGAACACCGGUGGCGAAGGCGACACUCUGGACGAAUACUGACGCUGAGGCGCGAAAGCGUGGGGAGCAAACA